Molecule: non-coding RNA, 667 nt
Organism: Cinara cedri
Lineage: Eukaryota; Metazoa; Arthropoda; Insecta; Hemiptera; Aphididae
Source: the annotation of a GenBank genome assembly
UUUUUUUUUUUCAAAGACAGAGGAAUGUUUAAUAAUAAUAAUAAUACUGAUUUAUUUUUUCUAAAGACAAUAAUUAAACAACAAUUUUAUUUUAAUAUUAUAUAGGUAUAAUUACAUUAAUAUAGUCAAUGAAAAUACAAUAUAUUUUAUAAAUACAUUUAAAUUUCAAGUUUAUAUUAUAAUAAUAUACUUAAACAUAAUAAUUAAUAGAAGUACUAUUUUUUUAUUAUGUUUUUUUUUUUAUUACAAAAAGACUAUGAUUAAAAUUAAUUAGUGAUGUUCAACAAAUUAGUUGAUAUAUUAUUUGAAUCGUAAUAUGAUUUUUUUUUUUUUUUAUUACUAUGCGACUAUUAUAUGUUACUUUGCAAAUUAUUUGUAUUCGUCCUAUUAAAAUAUUUUAUGGUAUAGGAAACGAUAUUAUUGUUAUAAGAUCUGAUUGAUAUUUAAUAUCAUCGUUUGUGUGUAGGUACUGCACUCUGAGGAAAUACAGGUAGACAUAAUGUCAUCAUGUUUGUUUUGAGAUCAAACAUAAUAUUAUUAUUAUUUUUUUAGUAUUUUUAAACAUGUGUGCUAUUAAUAGUAAUAAUAAUUAUAAUAGUAAUAAUAUUCUAAGAUUGAUUUUAUAAUAAUUUUAUAUAUAUAUAUAUAUAUAAUAGUUUUUUUUUUU